GACGAACGCUGGCGGCGUGCUUAACACAUGCAAGUCGAACGGUGAAGCGCCUUCCUUUUUGGUGGGUGUGGAUGAGUGGCGAACGGGUGAGUAACACGUGAGUAACCUGCCCCCUUCUUCUGGAUAACCGCAUGAAAGUGUGGCUAAUACGGGAUAUUCUGGGUCUGUCGCAUGAUGGGUCUGGGAAAGAUAUUGUUUCGGUGGGGGAUGGGCUCGCGGCCUAUCAGCUUGUUGGUGGGGUGAUGGCCUACCAAGGCGGUGACGGGUAGCCGGCCUGAGAGGGUGGCCGGCCAGACUGGGACUGAGACAAGGCCGAGACUCCGACGGGAGGCAGAAGUGGGGAAUAUUGAGCAAUGGGCGCAAGCCUGAUGCAGCGACGCCGCGUGAGGGAUGGAGGCCUUCGGGUUGUGAACCUCUUUCGCCAGUGAAGCAGGCCUGCCUCGUAUGUGGGUGGGUUGACGGUAGCUGGAUAAGAAGCGCCGGCUAACUACGUG
RNAcentral lists this ribosomal RNA (494 nucleotides) under uncultured bacterium. RNAcentral describes it as "partial 16S ribosomal RNA". It matches the Rfam family "Bacterial small subunit ribosomal RNA", at positions 28 to 507 of the family's 1533-position model. The record is from RNAcentral.